UGGCCAGUGGAGUGGAAAGCAAAGUGCAAACCUGCCAAGAGUGAAACAACCAAGGACAAAGCUCAGUUACUCACACUGUGAAGAGCUCUGAGCUGAUCCCACUCCAACACUCCACCUCCAGUGCACAGUCAGCUCUGACUGCAGGGUGCUGCCAUGUGGGCCAUGCACACACAGGAGGGACGCCUGGCCCCCAGCACUGCCCAGCAGACAUGCUCCUGAGCUGCCAGGGACACGUACCAGUGACAGCCAGACAGAAAUAAAGCACGUCAGAGCACCCCACCAGAAGAUGGGAAAGACAA
Pogoniulus pusillus (Red-fronted tinkerbird) is the source of this 299-nucleotide long non-coding RNA. RefSeq lists it as uncharacterized. The record is from RefSeq and is a predicted model, not a curated record. NCBI's taxonomy places the organism in Eukaryota, Metazoa, Chordata, Aves, Piciformes, Lybiidae. The transcript has 2 exons.